UAAGGAAUAUUGGUCAAUGGACGCAAGUCUGAACCAGCCAUGCCGCGUGAAGGAUGAAGGUCCUCUGGAUUGUAAACUUCUUUUAUUUGGGAAGAAACCCAUGAUUUCUAUCGUGGUUGACGGUACCAGAUGAAUAAGCACCGGCUAACUCCGUGCCAGCAGCCGCGGUAAUACGGAGGGUGCAAGCGUUAUCCGGAUUCACUGGGUUUAAAGGGUGCGUAGGCGGGUUGGUAAGUCCGUGGUGAAAUCUCCAAGCUUAACUUGGAAACUGCCGUGGAUACUAUCAAUCUUGAAUAUAGUGGAGGUGAGCGGAAUAUGUCAUGUAGCGGUGAAAUGCUUAGAUAUGACAUAGAACACCCAUUGCGAAGGCAGCUCGCUACACUAUUAUUGACGCUGAGGCACGAAAGCGUGGGGAUCAAACA
This 422-nucleotide ribosomal RNA is filed under the name uncultured Chitinophagaceae bacterium. RNAcentral describes it as "bacterial SSU rRNA". It matches the Rfam family "Bacterial small subunit ribosomal RNA", at positions 355 to 774 of the family's 1533-position model. Lineage: Bacteria; Pseudomonadati; Bacteroidota; Chitinophagia; Chitinophagales; Chitinophagaceae. The record is from RNAcentral.